Molecule: ribosomal RNA, 601 nt
Filed under: Kitasatospora sp.
Lineage: Bacteria; Bacillati; Actinomycetota; Actinomycetes; Kitasatosporales; Streptomycetaceae
Description: bacterial SSU rRNA
Rfam family: Bacterial small subunit ribosomal RNA
Source: RNAcentral
GGGAAAUCUGCCCUGCACUCUGGGACAAGCCUUGGAAACGAGGUCUAAUACCGGAUAUGACCUUCCUCUGCAUGGGGGUUGGUGGAAAGCUCCGGCGGUGCAGGAUGAUCCCGCGGCCUAUCAGCUUGUUGGUGGGGUAAUGGCCUACCAAGGCGACGACGGGUAGCCGGCCUGAGAGGGCGACCGGCCACACUGGGACUGAGACACGGCCCAGACUCCUACGGGAGGCAGCAGUGGGGAAUAUUGCACAAUGGGCGAAAGCCUGAUGCAGCGACGCCGCGUGAGGGAUGACGGCCUUCGGGUUGUAAACCUCUUUCAGCAGGGAAGAAGCGCAAGUGACGGUACCUGCAGAAGAAGCACCGGCUAACUACGUGCCAGCAGCCGCGGUAAUACGUAGGGUGCGAGCGUUGUCCGGAAUUAUUGGGCGUAAAAGAGCUCGUAAGGCGGCUUGUCACGUCGGGGUGUGAAAGCCCCGGGGCUUAACCCCCGGGUCUGCAUUUCGAUACGGGCCGGCCUUGGAGUGUGGGUAGGGGGAGAUCCGGAAAUUCCCUGGGUGUAGCCGGUGAAAAUGCGCAAAAUUAUCAGGGAGGGAAACACCCGG